GAUGAAGAACGUAGCUAAAUGCGAUAAGUAAUGCGAAUUGCAGAAUUCCAGUGAGUCAUCGAAUCUUUGAACGCACAUUGCGCCCGCUAGUAUUCUGGCGGGCAUGCCUGUCCGAGCGUCAUUUCAACCCUCAAGCCCCCGGGCUUGGUGUUGGGGAUCGGCGAGCCUCCGCGCCCGCCGUCCCCUAAAUCUAGUGGCGGUCUCGCUGUAGCUUCCUCUGCGUAGUAGCACACCUCGCACUGGGAAACAGCGCGGCCACGCCGUUAAACCCCCAACUUCUGAACGUUUGACCUCGGAUCAGGUAGGAAUACCCGCUGAACUUAAGCAUAUCAAUAAGCGGAGGA
This 344-nucleotide unclassified non-coding RNA is filed under the name soil metagenome. RNAcentral describes it as "partial contains 5.8S ribosomal RNA, internal transcribed spacer 2, and large subunit ribosomal RNA". The stretch from base 1 to 121 matches the Rfam family "5.8S ribosomal RNA", at positions 35 to 154 of the family's 154-position model. The record is from RNAcentral.